This 778-nucleotide ribosomal RNA is filed under the name Lactiplantibacillus plantarum. RNAcentral describes it as "bacterial SSU rRNA". It matches the Rfam family "Bacterial small subunit ribosomal RNA", at positions 93 to 860 of the family's 1533-position model. Lineage: Bacteria; Bacillati; Bacillota; Bacilli; Lactobacillales; Lactobacillaceae. The record is from RNAcentral.
GAGUGGCGAACUUGGUGAGUAACACGUGGGAAACCUGCCCAGAAGCGGGGGAUAACACCUGGAAACAGAUGCUAAUACCGCAUAACAACUUGGACCGCAUGGUCCGAGUUUGAAAGAUGGCUUCGGCUAUCACUUUUGGAUGGUCCCGCGGCGUAUUAGCUAGAUGGUGGGGUAACGGCUCACCAUGGCAAUGAUACGUAGCCGACCUGAGAGGGUAAUCGGCCACAUUGGGACUGAGACACGGCCCAAACUCCUACGGGAGGCAGCAGUAGGGAAUCUUCCACAAUGGACGAAAGUCUGAUGGAGCAACGCCGCGUGAGUGAAGAAGGGUUUCGGCUCGUAAAACUCUGUUGUUAAAGAAGAACAUAUCUGAGAGUAACUGUUCAGGUAUUGACGGUAUUUAACCAGAAAGCCACGGCUAACUACGUGCCAGCAGCCGCGGUAAUACGUAGGUGGCAAGCGUUGUCCGGAUUUAUUGGGCGUAAAGCGAGCGCAGGCGGUUUUUUAAGUCUGAUGUGAAAGCCUUCGGCUCAACCGAAGAAGUGCAUCGGAAACUGGGAAACUUGAGUGCAGAAGAGGACAGUGGAACUCCAUGUGUAGCGGUGAAAUGCGUAGAUAUAUGGAAGAACACCAGUGGCGAAAGGCGGCUGUCUGGUCUGUAACUGACGCUGAGGCUCGAAAGUAUGGGUAGCAACAGGAUUAGAUACCCUGGUAGUCCAUACCGUAACGAUGAUGCUAGUGUUGGAGGGUUUCCGCCCUCAGUGCUGCAGCUACGCAU